UACGAACGCUGGCGGCGUGCUUAACACACGCAAGUCGAACGAUGAUGCCCAGCUUGCUGGGUGGAUUAGUGGCGAACGGGUGAGUAACACGUGAGUAACCUGCCCCUGACUCUGGGAUAAGCGAUGGAAACGACGUCUAAUACUGGAUAUGACUACUGGUCGCAUGGCCUGGUGGUGGAAAGAUUUUUUGGUUGGGGAUGGACUCGCGGCCUAUCAGCUUGUUGGUGAGGUAAUGGCUCACCAAGGCGACGACGGGUAGCCGGCCUGAGAGGGUGACCGGCCACACUGGGACUGAGACACGGCCCAGACUCCUACGGGAGGCAGCAGUGGGGAAUAUUGCACAAUGGGCGAAAGCCUGAUGCAGCAACGCCGCGUGAGGGAUGACGGCCUUCGGGUUGUAAACCUCUUUUAGUAGGGAAGAAGCGAAAGUGACGGUACCUGCAGAAAAAGCACCGGCUAACUACGUGCCAGCCGCCGCGGUAA
Molecule: ribosomal RNA, 483 nt
Filed under: uncultured bacterium
Lineage: Bacteria
Description: partial 16S ribosomal RNA
Rfam family: Bacterial small subunit ribosomal RNA
Source: RNAcentral